RNAcentral lists this ribosomal RNA (301 nucleotides) under uncultured bacterium. RNAcentral's name for it is "partial 16S ribosomal RNA". It matches the Rfam family "Bacterial small subunit ribosomal RNA", at positions 509 to 807 of the family's 1533-position model. The record is from RNAcentral.
CAGUCGCCACGGGAAAACGUAGGGUGCAAGCGUUAAUCGGAAUUACUGGGCGUAAAGCGUGCGUAGGCGGUGAGUUAAGUCUGCUGUGAAAUCCCCGGGCUCAACCUGGGAAUGGCAGUGGAUACUGGCUCGCUAGAGUGUGUCAGAGGAUGGUGGAAUUCCCGGUGUAGCGGUGAAAUGCGUAGAGAUCGGGAGGAACAUCAGUGGCGAAGGCGGCCAUCUGGGACAACACUGACGCUGAGGCACGAAAGCGUGGGGAGCAAACAGGAUUAGAGACCCCCGUAGUCCCUGUCUCUUAUAC